Molecule: ribosomal RNA, 580 nt
Filed under: Burkholderia sp. BvORHM084
Lineage: Bacteria; Pseudomonadati; Pseudomonadota; Betaproteobacteria; Burkholderiales; Burkholderiaceae
Description: bacterial SSU rRNA
Rfam family: Bacterial small subunit ribosomal RNA
Source: RNAcentral
ACGGGUGAGUAAUACAUCGGAACGUGUCCUGGAGUGGGGGAUAGCCCGGCGAAAGCCGGAUUAAUACCGCAUACGCUCUACGGAGGAAAGCGGGGGAUCUUCGGACCUCGCGCUCAAGGGGCGGCCGAUGGCGGAUUAGCUAGUUGGUAGGGUAAAGGCCUACCAAGGCGACGAUCCGUAGCUGGUCUGAGAGGACGACCAGCCACACUGGGACUGAGACACGGCCCAGACUCCUACGGGAGGCAGCAGUGGGGAAUUUUGGACAAUGGGGGCAACCCUGAUCCAGCAAUGCCGCGUGUGUGAAGAAGGCCUUCGGGUUGUAAAGCACUUUUGUCCGGAAAGAAAUCCUCUGGGUUAAUACCCCGGGGGGAUGACGGUACCGGAAGAAUAAGCACCGGCUAACUACGUGCCAGCAGCCGCGGUAAUACGUAGGGUGCGAGCGUUAAUCGGAAUUACUGGGCGUAAAGCGUGCGCAGGCGGUCCGCUAAGACCGAUGUGAAAUCCCCGGGCUUAACCUGGGAACUGCAUUGGUGACUGGCGGGCUAGAGUGUGGCAGAGGGGGGUAGAAUUCCACGUGUAG